GGACGAACGCUGGCGGCGUGCCUAACACAUGCAAGUCGAGCGGAGGGGAUAGGAGCUUGCUUCUUGAACCUCAGCGGCGGACGGGUGAGUAACACGUGGGUAACCUGCCCUUGAGAGGGGGAUAACAGGUCGAAAGGCCUGCUAAUACCGCAUAACGCUAAGAAGCUGCAUGGCGUCUUAGCCAAAGGUUAAUUCCGCUCAAGGAUGGGCCCGCGGCCCCAUUAGCUAGUUGGUGAGGUAAUGGCUCACCAAGGCGACGAUGGGUAGCCGGCCUGAGAGGGUGGUCGGCCACACUGGGACUGAGACACGGCCCAGACUCCUACGGGAGGCAGCAGUGGGGAAUAUUGCGCAAUGGGGGAAACCCUGACGCAGCGACGCCGCGUGAGCGAUGAAGGCCUUCGGGUUGUAAAGCUCUGUCUUCCCUGACGAUAAUGACGGUAAGGGAGGAGGAAGCCACGGCUAACUACGUGCCAGCAGCCGCGGUAAUACGUAGGUGGCGAGCGUUGUCCGGAAUUACUGGGCGUAAAGGGUGCGUAGGCGGCUCUUUAAGUGGGAUGUGAAAUCCCUGGGCUCAACCCAGGAACUGCAUUCCAAACUGGAGAGCUAGAGUGCAGGAGAGGAAAGCGGAAUUCCCAGUGUAGCGGUGAAAUGCGUAGAGAUUGGGAGGAACACCAGUGGCGAAGGCGGCUUUCUGGACUGUAACUGACGCUGAGGCACGAAAGCGCGGGGAGCAAACAGGAUUAGAUACCCUGGUAGUCCACGCUGUAAACGAUGGGUACUAGGUGUAAGGGGGGCGAAAGCCCUCUCUGUUGCCCGCAGCUAACGCAUUAAAGUACCCCCGCCUUGGGGAGUACGGUCGCCAAGAUUAAAAACUCCAAAAGGAAUUGACGGGGGCCCGCAACAAAGCAGCGGGAGGCAUGUUGGUUUUAAUUCGAAAGCAAACGCGGAAGGAACUUUACCAGGGGCUUUGACAUCCCACCGGAAACCCCUGUGGAAACCACGGGGGGUGCCCUUUCGGGGAACGGUGAGGACCAGAAUGGUGGCAUGGUUGUUCGUCAGCUUCGUGUUCGUGAGAUGUUUGGGUUAAGUCCCCGCCAACGGAGGCGCAACCCUUGCCCUUUUAGUGGCCAGCAAUUCGGUUGGGCACUCUAGAAGGGGACUGCCUGGGUUAACCCAGGAGGAAGGUGGGGAUGACGUCAAAUCAUCAUGCCCCCUUAUGCUCUGGGCUACACACGUGCUACAAUGGCCCGGUACAAUGAGUUGCAAAACCCGCGAGGGGGAGCUAAUCUCAAAAACCGGUCCCCAGUUCGGAUUGUAGGCUGCAACUCGCCUACAUGAAGCUGGAGUUGCUAGUAAUCGCGGAUCAGCAUGCCGCGGGUGAAUACGUUCCCGGGCCCUUGUACACACCGCCCGUCACACC
Molecule: ribosomal RNA, 1420 nt
Filed under: uncultured bacterium
Lineage: Bacteria
Description: bacterial SSU rRNA
Rfam family: Bacterial small subunit ribosomal RNA
Source: RNAcentral